This 66-nucleotide transfer RNA is filed under the name Chauliognathus opacus. RNAcentral's name for it is "tRNA-Met". The record is from RNAcentral. Lineage: Eukaryota; Metazoa; Arthropoda; Insecta; Coleoptera; Cantharidae.
AAAAAGAUCAGCUAAAUUUAAGCUUUUAGGUUCAUACCCUGACCAUGAAUAUAAAUUCUCUUUUUA